UCAAGUUAUUAAGGGUGCAGGGCGGAUGCCUUGGCACUAGGAGCCGAUGAAGGACGUGAUAAGCUGCGAUAAGCUUCGGGGAGUUGCACGUAAACUUUGAUCCGAAGAUUUCCGAAUGAGGAAACUCACUUAGAGUAAUGUCUAAGUAUCAUUAAGUGAAUACAUAGCUUAAUGAGGGGAACUCAGGGAACUGAAACAUCUAAGUACCUGAAGGAAGAGAAAGAAAUUCGAUUCCGUAAGUAGCGGCGAGCGAACGCGGAUUAGCCCAAACCAAUAAAGUUUUCUUUAUUGGGGUUGCGGACAUAUCAUAACGAAGAGGUAUCGUAAUUGAAGAGGUUUGGAAAGACCCACCACAGAAGGUAAUAGUCCUGUAUGUUAAACGAGAAGACUUCAGAUAUGAUCCAGAGUACCACGGGACACGUGAAACCCUGUGGGAAGCAGGAGGGACCACCCUCCAAGGCUAAAUACUACCUAGUGACCGAUAGCGUAUAGUACCGUGAGGGAAAGGUGAAAAGAACCCCGGGAGGGGAGUGAAAUAGAACCUGAAACCCUGCACUUACAAGCUGUGGAAGCACAUUUCUUGUGUGACCGCGUACUUUUUGUAGAACGGGCCAACGAGUUACGUUAAGUAGCAAGGUUAAGCACUUAAGGUGCGGAGCCGUAGCGAAAGCGAGUUUUAACUGAGCGUUCAGUUACUUGACGUAGACCCGAAACCGGGCGACCUACCCAUGAGCAGGAUGAAGCGAAAGUAAAAUUUCGUGGAGGUCCGAACCCACGAGCGUUGAAAAGCUCGGGGAUGACUUGUGGGUAGCGGUGAAAUUCCAAUCGAGCCCGGAGAUAGCUGGUUCUCCCCGAAAUAGCUUUAGGGCUAGCCUCAAGGUGAGAGAUACGGAGGUAGAGCACUGAAUGUCCUAGGGGGUAUUGCACCUACCGAAGACUAUCAAACUCCGAAUGCCGUCAUCUUAUACUUGGGAGUCAGACUGUGGGUGAUAAGAUUCAUAGUCGAAAGGGCAACAGCCCAGAUCGUCAGCUAAGGUCCCUAAAUGUAAGUUAAGUGGUAAAGGAUGUGGGAUUGCACAGACAACCAGGAUGUUGGCUUAGAAGCAGCCACUCAUUCAAAGAGUGCGUAAUAGCUCACUGGUCGAGUGAUCCUGCGCCGAAGAUUUCCGGGGCUAAAACUUACUACCGAAGCUACGGCAUCAGUAAUGAUGGGUAGGGGAGCUUCCCAUACGGGUUGAAGCAUGACCGUAAGGACAUGUGGACAGUAUGGGAGUGAGAAUGUUGGCAUGAGUAGCGAGAUGUGGGUGAGAAUCCCACAGGCCGUAAACCCAAGGUUUCCAGGGGAAGGUUCGUCCGCCCUGGGUUAGUCGGGACCUAAGCUGAGGCCGAAAGGCGUAGGUGAUGGACAACAGGUUGAUAUUCCUGUACUACCGAUAACCGUUUGAGAGAAGGGAUGACACAGUAGGAUAAGCUAAGCACACUGUUGGUUAUGUGUGCCCAAGCAUUGAGGCAGUCAAAGUAGGCAAAUCCGCUUUGAUAAUGCUGGGAUGUGAUGGGGAGCGAAAUUUAGUAGCGAAGUAGCUGAUUUCACACUGUCAAGAAAAGUCUCUAUCGAGGUUAAAGGUACCCGUACCGCAAACCGACACAGGUGGGUGAGGAGAGUAUCCUAAGGCCAGCGAGAGAACUGUUGUUAAGGAACUCGGCAAAAUGACCCCGUAACUUAGGGAUAAGGGGUGCCACCAUCAGGUGGCCGCAGAGAAUAGGCCCAAGCGACUGUUUACCAAAAACAUAGGUUUCUGCUAAGUCGCAAGACGAUGUAUAGGAGCUGACGCCUGCCCGGUGCUGGAAGGUUAAGGGGAUCUGUUAGAGCAAUCGAAGCAGUGAACUUAAGCCCCAGUAAACGGCGGCCGUAACUAUAACGGUCCUAAGGUAGCGAAAUUCCUUGUCGGGUAAGUUCCGACCCGCACGAAAGGCGUAACGAUUUGGGCACUGUCUCAACAACAGACUCGGUGAAAUUGUAAUUCCGGUGAAGAUGCCGGAUACCUGCGACAGGACGGAAAGACCCCAUGGAGCUUUACUGUAGCUUGACAUUGGGUCUUGGUACUACAUGUACAGGAUAGGUGGGAGGCUUUGAAACCAGGACGCCAGUUUUGGCGGAGCCAUCCUUGGGAUACCACCCUUGUAGUACUGGGACUCUAACCAUAGGCCAUGAAUCUGGUCUUGGGACACUGUCAGGUGGGCAGUUUGACUGGGGCGGUCGCCUCCCAAAAGGUAACGGAGGCGCUCAAAGGUUCUCUCAGUACGGUCGGAAAUCGUACGUAGAGUGUAAAGGCAAAAGAGAGCUUGAUUGCAAGACAUACAGGUCGAGCAAGGAUGAAAAUCGGACUUAGUGAUCCGGUGGUUCUGCGUGGAAGGGCCAUCGCUCAACGGAUAAAAGCUACCCUGGGGAUAACAGGCUUAUCUCCCCCAAGAGUCCACAUCGACGGGGAGGUUUGGCACCUCGAUGUCGGCUCAUCACAUCCUGGGGCUGUAGUAGGUCCCAAGGGUUGGGCUGUUCGCCCAUUAAAGUGGUACGCGAGCUGGGUUCAGAACGUCGUGAGACAGUUCGGUCCCUAUCCGUCGCAGGCGUAGGAAAUUUGAGAAGACCUGUCCUUAGUACGAGAGGACCGGGAUGGACGUACCUCUGGUGUACCAGUUGUNNNNNNNNNNNNNNNNNNNNNNCUGCCAAGGGCAUGGCUGGGUAGCUAUGUACGGAAUGGAUAAGCGCUGAAAGCAUCUAAGCGCGAAGCCAACUUCAAGAUAAGAUUUCCCACCGCAAGGGUAAGACCCCAGAAAGACUAUCUGGUUGAUAGGUCGAAGGUGUAAGUGCAGCAAUGUAUUUAGCUUAUCGAUACUAAUAGGUCGAGGACUUGACCAA
This 2917-nucleotide ribosomal RNA is filed under the name Clostridioides difficile. Its description in RNAcentral is "23S ribosomal RNA". It matches the Rfam family "Bacterial large subunit ribosomal RNA". The record is from RNAcentral. Lineage: Bacteria; Bacillati; Bacillota; Clostridia; Peptostreptococcales; Peptostreptococcaceae.